RNAcentral lists this ribosomal RNA (398 nucleotides) under uncultured bacterium. Its description in RNAcentral is "bacterial SSU rRNA". It matches the Rfam family "Bacterial small subunit ribosomal RNA", at positions 28 to 430 of the family's 1533-position model. The record is from RNAcentral.
GACGAACGCUGGCGGCGUGCUUAACACAUGCAAGUCGAGCGGUAAGGCCCUUUCGGGGGUACGACGAGCGGCGAACGGGUGAGUAACACGUGGGUGACCUGCCCUCAGCUCUGGGAUAAGCCUGGGAAACCGGGUCUAAUACUGGAUAUGACUCCAUGACGCAUGUUGUGGGGUGGAAAGCCUUGUGCGGCUGAGGAUGGGCCCGCGGCCUAUCAGCUUGUUGGUGGGGUGAUGGCCUACCAAGGCGACGACGGGUAGCCGGCCUGAGAGGGCGACCGGCCACACUGGGACUGAGACACGGCCCAGACUCCUACGGGAGGCAGCAGUGGGGAAUCUUGCGCAAUGGGCGAAAGCCUGACGCAGCGACGCCGCGUGAGGGAUGACGGCCUGGUGUAACU